RNAcentral lists this ribosomal RNA (607 nucleotides) under uncultured bacterium. RNAcentral's name for it is "bacterial SSU rRNA". It matches the Rfam family "Bacterial small subunit ribosomal RNA", at positions 331 to 929 of the family's 1533-position model. The record is from RNAcentral.
CCAGACUCCUACGGGAGGCAGCAGUGGGGAAUCUUCCGCAAUGGGCGCAAGCCUGACGGAGCAACGCCGCGUGAGUGAAGAAGGUCUUCGGAUCGUAAAGCUCUGUUGAUGGGGACGAACGUGCCUAAUGCGAAUAGUUUUAGGUAAUGACGGUACCCAUCGAGGAAGCCACGGCUAACUACGUGCCAGCAGCCGCGGUAAUACGUAGGUGGCGAGCGUUGUCCGGAAUCAUUGGGCGUAAAGGGAGCGCAGGCGGGCAUGUAAGUCUUUCUUAAAAGUGCGGGGCUCAACCCCGUGAUGGGAAAGAAACUAUGUGUCUUGAGUACAGGAGAGGAAAGCGGAAUUCCCAGUGUAGCGGUGAAAUGCGUAGAUAUUGGGAAGAACACCAGUGGCGAAGGCGGCUUUCUGGACUGCAACUGACGCUGAGGCUCGAAAGCCAGGGGAGCGAACGGGAUUAGAUACCCCGGUAGUCCUGGCCGUAAACGAUGGAUACUAGGUGUGGGAGGUAUCGACCCCUACCGUGCCGGAGUUAACGCAAUAAGUAUCCCGCCUGGGGAGUACGGCCGCAAGGCUGAAACUCAAAGGAAUUGACGGGGGCCCGCACAAG